Molecule: small nucleolar RNA, 50 nt
Filed under: Pyrobaculum islandicum DSM 4184
Lineage: Archaea; Thermoproteati; Thermoproteota; Thermoprotei; Thermoproteales; Thermoproteaceae
Description: PISsR02
Source: RNAcentral
AUGAUGAAACGGCCGUGACACGAAACGUGAAGAAGUGUUUCUAUAACUGA